Molecule: long non-coding RNA, 2324 nt
Organism: Bos taurus (domestic cattle)
Lineage: Eukaryota; Metazoa; Chordata; Mammalia; Artiodactyla; Bovidae
Source: Ensembl
UCGGGCAGCUGACCCUGUCAGUCUUUGGAAAUACUGUUUACUCUGUAACUAAAGUUGGAUCCUGGGCACAAGUCACCAAAACGAAAUUUUAAGAGGCGUAAACCUCAUCCCCACUGAGACCUCUUCAUGAAAACAGGAGUUGUGAAGGUUCCCUAGAUGAUUUCUUGGUAAGAAUUCUCAGCAACUGUAGAGAUCUGGAGGCCAGAGUUGAAAAGUUUUACAAUAUAGCCAAUUAUCUAAUUUUUAGUGUACUGAUAAAAAUUCUUUAAGCUUCCUUAUGGACACAAAUGACAGAUGAGGAAAAGUUUACUGAAAAUGGAGUUUCUCUUCUGUUUGCUUCAACUGGAUUUUUUAAAGUAAGGUUGAAAGUCCUCCAGAAAUGAAAUGACAAUUGAUCCAGAGAAGGUAAGUCAGAAUUAUACAAAGGGUAGCUUGUGGCAGGCUGAACAAACCCCACAAGUGGGUGGGGCACUUGCCCUGAGAUCCAGCCUCCAGGAAACACCAAAGAGCAGGCUGUUGGUUCACAAACUAGCCUUAGCAUGGAGGGCGAGGAGAACAAGGCAGACACUCCAGACUGGCGGGUGGCAGGUUUAAUCAGUGAGGGACCUUACAACCGAGGCUUGUCUUUGGUGACCACAAGUUCAAUAAUUUGACAAUGACUGGAGGCACAGGAGAUCACGUCACUGUGCUGGUGCAGACAGCUUCCCAGAUGGACCGCACCAUCUACUGUCAGGAGCUUGGAGAGAAGUGAACAGAAUUCUGUACAGCAACACACCAAAGCAGGCUGAACCUGAGAAGUGCUGAAUUCGGAGAGUAAAUGAUGUGCGUUGAGAGCCAAAGAAGGAGACCACUUUGGUUAGGACAUUGGAGGUGAUUCCUCGAAGACUGGAGCUGGGUCACCCUAGUCCUUGCUGGUAAAAGUGGUCUUUGAACAGCAACAUGGACCUCACGUGGGGACUUGUGAAAAAUUCAGAAUCUCAGAUGCCAGGCCAGACCUACAGAGUCAGAAUCGGCCAUUUUGACAAGACCCCCAGAUGAUUCCUGUGGGCAUUAAAGUUUGAGAACCACUGAUUUCACUACUUUUGGAAUUGAUAGAGCUACAUGGGCCUAUUUCUCUUCAUCCUGUUCACAGCACCAACUGUCUCACUGUUCACACCGUCCGCACCCGGGUAGGCAAGGCGUGAGCUAAGAGGCCGGAAGAAGACCCGAGGAGCUGGAGGAGCUGCAGACGCAUUUAUUCUCUUCCGGCUGACACAGCAGCCGUACCAGUAUUCUCUCCUGACUCACGCGGCCGCGGUCGCAUUCACUCACGCGGCCGCGGUCGCAUUCACGCUGUAGUCUCGCCUCUCAUGGCCAACCCGAGGGACACGGCCCUGAUGCAGCAGUAAUUCCCGCUGCUUUUUGGGUAGCGCUCUUAUCUCCCUACAGCCCAAAGUAACUCACGACAGUGCAGGGUUAUAAAUGAGCUCAGCUGUUAGUCAUUAUUUACAAAAUGUGGGGCAAGAGCGAAAAGCCAGGGGGCAGGAGAGCCCGACACGCCAUCUUGGCUAAUUUGCUCUUUCCUUACAAGGGGUAAUGUAAUGGAGGCCAGACUAUGAAAGGGUGCUUGAGGAGAGGCCGGUAGGCUUGGAGAAUUUACAGAGUACAUAGGAGGAUUUAUGUCUGCUACUAACAGUAGAAAUAAAAACUCCACGACCACUUACUAUGAGCCAGUGAUUGUGCUGAGUGACUGAUGCAAUGCUGUCUCAUUUCAUGCUCUCAACAACCCGGUGAGGACGCUACAUCAUUUUUCAGAUGAGGAAGCUGAGACUUACAGAGGUUAAGUAACUUCUCAAGUUCUCACAGAAAAGAGCAAGCCACACUUUCCCUUGAGCCAGAGCUCUAGGCCACUCCCUGCUGUAAGCCUCAGAUUCUCUGGACCAGCCAUGAAUUCCGGUCCACGUCGUCCUGAUAAAGUUCCCCUGAAGAGCAACCAAAGGGCCUGCAUCUGACAGGUAUAUUCAAGGAAGCCCAAGCUCUGUCCCUCCAUACUUACCUUUUUCUCAAAGAAUCUUUCUCCUGAUAAAAUCAGGAGAGAAGACAGACAAGAUUGUUCUGGUGACUAAGGUAAUUGCUUUUUCACUAAAAAUUUAACUUUUAAAACAUUUUAUUAACAAGUUCACACACUGUAGAAAAUCUGGAAAAUACAAAGAAGUACAAAAAGGAAAAUUUUAAUUUUUUGUAAAGCUGCAACUCAGUUACACUACAGUUAAUGGUAAAGCACAUUUCUUUCCAGGUUUUUCUUUAUAUAGUUAGAAUUUUUAAUAUAAUUAGAAUGGGGACUG